AGCCUGAACGCUGGCGGCGUGGCUAAGACAUGCAAGUCGCACGGAGGUAGCAAUACCUUAGUGGCGAACGGGUGAGUAAUGUAUCGCUAACGUACCCUUUAGUCCGGGAUAGCCAGGGGAAACUCUGGGUAAUACCGGGAAAUAUUCUCCUCUCGCAUGGGAGGAGACUCAAAGGAGCAAUCCGCUGAAGGAGCGGGCGAUAUCGUAUCAGCUAGUUGGUGAGGUAACGGCUCACCAAGGCGACGACGCGUAGCCGGACUGAGAGGUCGGUCGGCCACAUUGGGACUGAGACACUGCCCAGACUCCUACGGGGGGCUGCAGUAACGAAUCUUCCGCAAUGCACGCAAGUGUGACGGAGCGACGCCGCGUGUGGGACGAAGUCCUUCGGGAUGUAAACCACUGUCAGGGGUUACCAAGUUCUGAGGAGCCCCAGAGGAAGGCACGGCUAACUCUGCGCCAGCAGCCGCGGUAA
This 472-nucleotide ribosomal RNA is filed under the name uncultured bacterium. RNAcentral's name for it is "SSU rRNA". It matches the Rfam family "Bacterial small subunit ribosomal RNA", at positions 26 to 523 of the family's 1533-position model. The record is from RNAcentral.